UCGUCGAUGACACCGGGUGAGAUGAAGUGGACGUGGGUGUCGAUGGCACCAGCGGUGAUGAUCUUGCCGUUGCCCGAGAUGAUCUCGGUGUCGGGGCCGAUGACGAGAUCGGGGUGCACACCGUCCAUCGUGUCGGGGUUCCCGGACUUGCCGAUUCCGGUGAUACGGCCGUCGCGGAUCCCGAUGUCCGCCUUGACCACACCCCAGUGGUCGACGAUCACCGCGCCGGUGACGACGGUGUCGGGCGCGCCCUGGGCGCGACCCACCCUGGACUGGCCCAUGGACUCGCGG
Molecule: small RNA, 291 nt
Filed under: Streptomyces tsukubensis
Lineage: Bacteria; Bacillati; Actinomycetota; Actinomycetes; Kitasatosporales; Streptomycetaceae
Description: Streptomyces tsukubaensis 5' ureB small RNA
Rfam family: 5' ureB small RNA
Source: Rfam by way of RNAcentral